CUACCAUCGAUACCAUGGUUGUUUGAGAUCAUUGUGCUCGACUUAAAACACAUUACCUUCAUGAUUUCUCAUAAUAUAGCCCAUCCCAGCAUUUCUUUCAUUCUAAAAAUCAUCAAAGUUUAAUUUUAAUCAAGUCAUACGGGAGAAGUACCCCAUAGACUAAUAUUGGUUAAAGGUUAAUUUGGCUUUCAGAACUACUAGUAUC
RNAcentral lists this long non-coding RNA (205 nucleotides) under Elaeis guineensis (African oil palm). RNAcentral's name for it is "long non-coding RNA (EGUI_LNC027133)". Lineage: Eukaryota; Viridiplantae; Streptophyta; Magnoliopsida; Arecales; Arecaceae. The record is from RNAcentral.